AGUCGAGCGGAUGAAGGGAGCUUGCUCCUGGAUUCAGCGGCGGACGGGUGAGUAAUGCCUAGGAAUCUGCCUGGUAGUGGGGGAUAACGUUCCGAAAGGAACGCUAAUACCGCGUACGUCCUACGGGAGAAAGCAGGGGACCUUCGGGCCUUGCGCUAUCAGAUGAGCCUAGGUCGGAUUAGCUAGUUGGUGAGGUAAUGGCUCACCAAGGCGACGAUCCGUAACUGGUCUGAGAGGAUGAUCAGUCACACUGGAACUGAGACACGGUCCAGACUCCUACGGGAGGCAGCAGUGGGGAAUAUUGGACAAUGGGCGAAAGCCUGAUCCAGCCAUGCCGCGUGUGUGAAGAAGGUCUUCGGAUUGUAAAGCACUUUAAGUUGGGAGGAAGGGCUGUAGGCUAAUAUCCUGCGGUUUUGACGUUACCAACAGAAUAAGCACCGGCUAACUUCGUGCCAGCAGCCGCGGUAAUACGAAGGGUGCAAGCGUUAAUCGGAAUUACUGGGCGUAAAGCGCGCGUAGGUGGUUCGUUAAGUUGGAUGU
RNAcentral lists this ribosomal RNA (540 nucleotides) under Pseudomonas sp. W218. RNAcentral's name for it is "bacterial SSU rRNA". It matches the Rfam family "Bacterial small subunit ribosomal RNA", at positions 60 to 595 of the family's 1533-position model. Lineage: Bacteria; Pseudomonadati; Pseudomonadota; Gammaproteobacteria; Pseudomonadales; Pseudomonadaceae. The record is from RNAcentral.